RNAcentral lists this ribosomal RNA (440 nucleotides) under uncultured bacterium. Its description in RNAcentral is "partial 16S ribosomal RNA". It matches the Rfam family "Bacterial small subunit ribosomal RNA", at positions 338 to 795 of the family's 1533-position model. The record is from RNAcentral.
CCUACGGGAGGCAGCAGUGGGGAAUUUUGCACAAUGGGGGAAACCCUGAUGCAGCGACGCCGCGUGAGUGAAGAAGUAUCUCGGUACGUAAAGCUCUAUCAGCAGGGAAGAAAAUGACGGUACCUGACUAAGAAGCCCCGGCUAACUACGUGCCAGCAGCCGCGGUAAUACGUAGGGGGCAAGCGUUAUCCGGAUUUACUGGGGGUAAAGGGAGCGUAGACGGCAGCACAAGUCUGGAGUGAAAUCCCGGGGCUUAACCCCGGAACUGCUUUGGAAACUGUGCGGCUGGAGUGCAGGAGGGGUAAGCGGAAUUCCAAGUGUAGCGGUGAAAUGCGCAGAGAUAAGGAGGAACACCAGUGGCGAAGGCGGCUUACUGGACUGUAACUGACGUUGAGGCUCGAAAGCGUGGGGAGCAAACAGGAUUAGAUACCCCAGUAGUC